GUCGGCGUCAGCGUCAGCGUCAAGAGAGCGCUUAUUGACCGAAGCGGGUCAUUCACUGGUUUCACUGAAUAUUCGAGUCGCCCGCGUUUGCGUGAGCACUAAGAACACACGACCACCGUUGCGCUUAGUUUAAUCAGUUUCGGUUACGUGCAACAUUUGCAUCCGCGACGAAGUUCGGAAAGGAGUUGACCCCCGCUGGACUCAUAAAUAACAGUACAUUGCAAGGCUCCAAGAACACACCAACCUCGGCAUUGCGCGCAGCCAGCAUACUCCGUCAUCCCAGAACUGUCACAACACAAUCACCCACUACCACCGACGAACCGUAACACAUUCCAAGAAGGUUCACAAAGGCACAACGCAAUC
Long non-coding RNA from Cydia pomonella (codling moth), 363 nucleotides. RefSeq lists it as uncharacterized. The record is from RefSeq and is a predicted model, not a curated record. The transcript has 3 exons. NCBI's taxonomy places the organism in Eukaryota, Metazoa, Arthropoda, Insecta, Lepidoptera, Tortricidae.